Molecule: ribosomal RNA, 1470 nt
Filed under: uncultured bacterium
Lineage: Bacteria
Description: bacterial SSU rRNA
Rfam family: Bacterial small subunit ribosomal RNA
Source: RNAcentral
GACGAACGCUGGCGGCGUGCCUAAUACAUGCAAGUAGAACGCUGAAGGGAGGAGCUUGCUCUUCUUGGAUGAGUUGCGAACGGGUGAGUAACGCGUAGGUAACCUGCCUUGUAGCGGGGGAUAACUAUUGGAAACGAUAGCUAAUACCGCAUAACAAUGGAUGACACAUGUCAUUUAUUUGAAAGGGGCAAUUGUUCCACUACAAGAUGGACCUGCGUUGUAUUAGCUAGUAGGUGAGGUAAUGGCUCACCUAGGCGACGAUACAUAGCCGACCUGAGAGGGUGAUCGGCCACACUGGGACUGAGACACGGCCCAGACUCCUACGGGAGGCAGCAGUAGGGAAUCUUCGGCAAUGGGGGCAACCCUGACCGAGCAACGCCGCGUGAGUGAAGAAGGUUUUCGGAUCGUAAAGCUCUGUUGUAAGUCAAGAACGGGUGUGAGAGUGGAAAGUUCACACUGUGACGGUAGCUUACCAGAAAGGGACGGCUAACUACGUGCCAGCAGCCGCGGUAAUACGUAGGUCCCGAGCGUUGUCCGGAUUUAUUGGGCGUAAAGCGAGCGCAGGCGGUUUGAUAAGUCUGAAGUUAAAGGCUGUGGCUCAACCAUAGUUCGCUUUGGAAACUGUCAAACUUGAGUGCAGAAGGGGAGAGUGGAAUUCCAUGUCUAGCGGUGAAAUGCGUAGAUAUAUGGAGGAACACCGGUGGCGAAAGCGGCUCUCUGGUCUGUAACUGACGCUGAGGCUCGAAAGCGUGGGGAGCGAACAGGAUUAGAUACCCUGGUAGUCCACGCCGUAAACGAUGAGUGCUAGGUGUUGGAUCCUUUCCGGGAUUCAGUGCCGCAGCUAACGCAUUAAGCACUCCGCCUGGGGAGUACGACCGCAAGGUUGAAACUCAAAGGAAUUGACGGGGGCCCGCACAAGCGGUGGAGCAUGUGGUUUAAUUCGAAGCAACGCGAAGAACCUUACCAGGUCUUGACAUCCCGAUGCUAUUUCUAGAGAUAGAAAGUUACUUCGGUACAUCGGUGACAGGUGGUGCAUGGUUGUCGUCAGCUCGUGUCGUGAGAUGUUGGGUUAAGUCCCGCAACGAGCGCAACCCCUAUUGUUAGUUGCCAUCAUUCAGUUGGGCACUCUAGCGAGACUGCCGGUAAUAAACCGGAGGAAGGUGGGGAUGACGUCAAAUCAUCAUGCCCCUUAUGACCUGGGCUACACACGUGCUACAAUGGUUGGUACAACGAGUUGCGAGUCGGUGACGGCGAGCUAAUCUCUUAAAGCCAAUCUCAGUUCGGAUUGUAGGCUGCAACUCGCCUACAUGAAGUCGGAAUCGCUAGUAAUCGCGGAUCAGCACGCCGCGGUGAAUACGUUCCCGGGCCUUGUACACACCGCCCGUCACACCACGAGAGUUUGUAACACCCGAAGUCGGUGAGGUAACCUUUUGGAGCCAGCCGCCUGAGGUGGGACAGAUGAUUGGGGUG